Long non-coding RNA from Zonotrichia leucophrys gambelii, 350 nucleotides. RefSeq lists it as uncharacterized. The record is from RefSeq and is a predicted model, not a curated record. Lineage: Eukaryota; Metazoa; Chordata; Aves; Passeriformes; Passerellidae. The transcript has 3 exons.
GGCAAGCAGGCAGCAGGCAUGGCCCGUGUUGCUGCUAUCAUCCUUUGUGUGAUGCAGGGAAGUGUUUUUGUUUGCUGCUGAACCUGGGCAAGUGUGAUUUUAACAGCAAGCCCAGCUAAGAGAGGAACAGGAUCACUCCAUCCUCCAUCAGUGGCAAUGGGACAAUCACCUCUGCAAGGCAGCACUGCAAGGCACAGACUUCCCUUCCAUCACGGGGACUUUGCCUUUUGGCCAAAGCACAGGGAGGUGGUUUUGGCCAGUGUCUGAAGGGCAAUUUGGCUGCUGUGGACCAGCAAAUGGGGAGCAUGAAUUUGGGAACUUGUGAAGGUUUUGGAGUGGUUGGACACAGG